Molecule: ribosomal RNA, 514 nt
Filed under: uncultured bacterium
Lineage: Bacteria
Description: partial 16S ribosomal RNA
Rfam family: Bacterial small subunit ribosomal RNA
Source: RNAcentral
GACGAACGCUGGCGGCGUGCCUAAUACAUGCAAGUCGAACGCGAGAGGAGGGAGCUUGCUCCCUCUGAUCGAGUGGCGGACGGGUGAGUAACAAGUAGGCAACCUGCCCAUCAGCCGGGGACAACUGCGGGAAACCGUGGCUAAUACCGGAUAAUCCUCCCCGCCGCGGGGCGGGGAGUUGAAAGACGGUUUCGGCAGUCGCCGAUGGAUGGGCCGGCGGCGCAUUAGCUGGGUGGCGGGGUAACGGCCCACCAAGGCAACGAUGCGUAGCCGACCUGAGAGGGUGAUCGGCCACACUGGGACUGAGACACGGCCCAGACUCCUACGGGAGGCAGCAGUAGGGAAUCUUCCGCAAUGGACGCAAGUCUGACGGAGCAACGCCGCGUGAGUGAAGAAGGGUUUCGGCUCGUAAAACUCUGUUGUUAAGGAAGAACGCCAGGUAGAGUAACUGCUACCUGUGUGACGGUACUUAACCAGAAAGCCACGGCUAACUACGUGCCAGCAGCCGCCGUAA